RNAcentral lists this ribosomal RNA (253 nucleotides) under uncultured bacterium. RNAcentral's name for it is "partial 16S ribosomal RNA". It matches the Rfam family "Bacterial small subunit ribosomal RNA", at positions 524 to 776 of the family's 1533-position model. The record is from RNAcentral.
UACGGAGGGUGCAAGCGUUGUCCGGAUUUAUUGGGUUUAAAGGGUGCGUAGGCGGAUUAUUAAGUCAGUGGUGAAAUUUUGCGGCUCAACCGUAAAACUGCCAUUGAUACUGGUAAUCUUGAGUACAGUUGAGGUGGUUGGAAUACGUAGUGUAGCGGUGAAAUGCAUAGAUAUUACGUAGAACACCAAUUGCGAAGGCAGAUCACUAAACUGUAACUGACGCUGAGGCACGAAAGCGUGGGGAGCGAACAGG